AUGAUGGACUAUAGGACAGGACUGCUGCUUUUAACUCUCUGCUGGGCAGGUGUUGAUGGUCAGACUCUGACAGAAUCUGAACCAGUGGUUAAAAGACCUGGAGAAUCCCACAGACUGACCUGUAUAACAUCUGGAUUCACAUUCAGUGACUACUGGAUGCAUUGGAUCAGACAGGCUCCUGGAAAAGGACUGGAGUGGAUUGCUGCUGAUCCCAAUAGUGGCAGCACAAAAUAUUACUCUCAGUCAGUCCAAGGCCGGUUUACCAUCUCCAGAGACAACAGCAGAGAGCAGCUGUAUCUGCAGAUGAACAGUCUGAAGACUGAAGAUUCUGCUGUUUAUUAUUGUGCUGGAGACUCACAGUGACUGGAGUUGGUUGAACAGCUGUACAAAAUCCAUCAAUCAACAGUCCAUGCAUGAACUAUUUUUUGAAUUAUUUUUAUUUCAAGUUAUAUUUUCUUUGACAGAUGACAGUGAAAAAUCAUGUUGCAUUUUCUCUUGUAAAAGGUCAGUCAGUUUCAGGUUUCUGUCUCCUCUGUUACUAAACUCAGAUCUGUUGUUCUCAUUGAUGUGAACUGACUAACUCUUGAAGUCUGGACUGAACUAAACCAUCAAACUCCUGCUGGUCUUAUACACUGGAUGUUACACUGAAAAUUAAGAUUUUUCUAUCCUAAAAAAAUAAUAACAUUAAAAAAGGCACUAUAAAACCACUCUGCGUGAUAUUUGAGUAUGACUGAUUUUUAACUUGUGAAAGCAUAUAUCCUCUUAGGUGGAGGUAAAUAAAAAAAUACAGUGAUUAAUAAAAUGCUGUGCUCAUAUGUUUGAAGUAAAUGUACCUGAG
This is a non-coding RNA of Seriola dumerili (greater amberjack), 838 nucleotides long. NCBI's taxonomy places the organism in Eukaryota, Metazoa, Chordata, Actinopteri, Carangiformes, Carangidae. The record is from the annotation of a RefSeq genome assembly.